Molecule: long non-coding RNA, 8376 nt
Filed under: Triticum aestivum (bread wheat)
Lineage: Eukaryota; Viridiplantae; Streptophyta; Magnoliopsida; Poales; Poaceae
Description: long non-coding RNA (TAES_LNC006186)
Source: RNAcentral
CCCCGUAUUCCAGCCCAGAGAUCGAGGAGAAGUCUUCUGGAAUACGGAACUGCUUAGCAUAGAACAAACCAGCUUUCUAUUAUUACACGAAUAUGAAUACAAGGUCUCCGAUAUUACAAUGAAUAACAUCAGCACGGCGACACUACGCCAUCCUUAGUUGCUCUAUGCAAGCAGCAGAACAACUCGAAGUAGCGGAAGAACUCUAGCAGCGGAACAACGAAGACGGUGGUGAACUCCACUCCGCAAGGACUCUGGCUGGAACGCUUAUCCUAGCUUGCACGAACGGAAACCACAACAAGCAAGCAAUCAAAUCCGGCAUGACCUGUAAACUGGCAUGACACGCCAGGUCAGUACAUUGAAUGUACUUGCAAGCUCACAAUAACCAGAAGCAUUCAAGACAAACAACAGCAUAGCAAUUACAGGUUAAGCAGGGAUUAUCAUAAUAUCAUCAGAACAACAUGGCAUGACCAACAUAAACAUGAUUCAGCUAACUCAACCUGAACAUAGCAUGAACGUAUUAAUCCGACAAUACUAGCAUGCAAUAUAAUGACACUAUAUGCACCAUUUAUUCUGCUCGGGUUACCUUGUAACCAACACAUGCAUCACUUACCAACCUCGGACAUCACACGAUCAUCUCAGGAUCAAAUCAAGCUUGGUAUAAACAAUACCAUAGCAAUCAGUAAAUGACCACAAGGAGCUUGACCUUUAUCCACGAUUCUCGUACAACAUCACGAAUAUACAACAACUCGGUAUCCUCGAUGCCAUCGUGAUCCUUAGGGCGAUCACCACCACGACCAACACUCAAACCGUGAUCCUUACGGCGAUCACAACCCGACCAAUAAAUGGCCCGUGAUCCUUACGGCGACCACAACCCGACCACUACAUGGCCCGUGAUCCUUACGACAAUCACCACCCGACUUAUCUCACUAUUAUUAAGCACAUUAUUUUUACUACUGUUGACUCAUGGUGUGACCUUCUCUUGAACUAGGCCCUUAUCCGCGGGCGCGGCUUUCGACAGAUUUAAUAUACACUCUGCAGAGGUUAGUACACUGUACCCACACUACAGAACCCAUCGCCUCGCACUACCCUUCGGGUGGACCAACGGCGUUCCGAAAAAACCGUCCUACUGCCAUGACACUCUCCCGGCCACUCCGACUCACUCCUCACUGACCUAAGUCAUGGGUGGCCCCGUGCCUACCUCCAGACACAACGACCACUGUCGUGGCCCGCCCCACUCUGGGACACGGAUCUAAAACUAACUUAACAACGGGCACACAAGGUUAUGCUCCGCCUACCUGAUCAGGGUAGCGCGCGCCCAUAACCUUCCCUCAUUGGAGGCACCGGUGAGAGGCAUUACAAUAGACCCAGUUAGGACCGUCCCAUACCGGUAAGCGUGGUUACACUAGUCAGCAUCGAUUCAGCGGCACCAUGACUCAGCCAACAAUUGUUCAAGUUCAAUUUAAUCCGGCUAACUUGAAUGCAAAUAUGCUGAGCCAUGAUAAAAUGCAUGAACAUGAUAUCAACAUCAUCAUGAGAGUAUCACAUAACUUUCCACCAUAACAACAAUAAAUCAUCUCCACUGAUCAUCGCAUACUGACUAGCAUGACCAUCUCCAACAUCAACAUGUACUACUAACAAGCAUAAACAUAUGAAAGAUAAUACUAGUAGGUAUAACAUGAUCACAGAGUAUAAGACAACAUAGCACAAAAGUGAACAUGCAAAUCUGAACAUCACCGGAACAAUGAUAACCAUGUUUUCAACAAGCAAACAUCUAAUAAAGAUUCAAGUUGAAAACCAUGGCUACUGCAUGACUAUCAUGCAAGUGGGUAUUGUGGCUUGCCUGGGGAUGAAGAAGGCACCGGGGAGAAGUGUCAGAAACUUGCGGAACAAAUCGCCGGAAAACGUACUCUCUCGAAGGGGAUGAAUAAGGGCAAGGGCAUAAAGGUCACGGUGGCAAACCAUAGUGAAACCAUGACCAACAGAACGGGCUCGGCAAAACGAAGAAGUGGGCUUUGGUUUCACCUCAUUUGGAUUUACGGAUAAAAAGUUAGAGCCCGAUGAAGUGCAGGGACCAAUCUGUAAAAAUAUCUCUACAAACAGGCCCCUGAGCUGAAAAACAGAAAACGUAUUUCAGACUAUACGCUUACAGAAAAGGAAAACAUAUUCUGAGCUGAAAGGGAAAGAAAGUGCACUUUCCAGCCGGGAAGGCGUAGUCCGUGGAAUACGCCUCCACCUAUCCACGUCAGCGUGGACUAGUCAACGUGGGGCUGGCGGCUUAGAGGCUUACAGGUGGGGUCGCAGGACCCAUGCUGCUGGUGAACGCCUUCGUCUUCUUCCUCCUCUUCGUGGCCCGAUCGAAGCAGAGGCAGGGGCGCUGCCGGCGCCGGCCCCGGCGACUCCGGCCACCUCCGGCCAAACGGAGGCCACCGACGGGCUCGGCGUGGACAGCCGCAUCCAUCCCCGCGCAGAGGAAACGCCGGAGAGGAGCGGGGUGGCCACGACUAAGAGGGGACAGAACCGGCUCCGGCGGUGGUGAUCUACGGGGACGACGGCAACAGCAGCUCCGGCGAUGGGCUCAGAGGGCAGGUAGGGUCUUCGAGGACUGGGUGGAGUUCUGGUGGUGGUAGAAGGAGGAGAGGGGGCUCGACUUGGCCGAAUUCGAGAGGAUGGACGCGGCAGCCAUGGCGGCGAUGGUGGGUAGGGAGUGAUCCAGGAGCUCGGGCUAGUGACUAGGCGGGGCUAGAGGAGAGCGGGGAGGCUGGUGGUGAGCUCGGGAGGGCUCGGGGAUGGCUUAAAUAGCCGCGGGCGAGGUGGCCGUGCUGGCACCGCCGCGGACGCGUGGCCGGCGCCCCGGAUGCAUGUGCUCCUGCAUGGAGUCGGGGGAAGGCGACGGCGAUGCACAGGGAGGAGCUCACCGGGUAGAAGGGGUCGAGGGAUGCAAAGGAGAAACGGCCGAACGCCAUUAAAACAUGUCAGAGCACUGUGCUCCCGUGGGCGCUCGUCGGCGAGCGUCGGUGAGCUAGCUUCCGCAUGGGUAAAGGGGACCAUCGGAGGCGCGACGAUGAGAUCUACCUACUGGACAUCAUCACGGGCUCUAAGACGACGAGAGGAGGAGGGGGUCCAGCCCAAACAGUGCUCUGGACGCGGCCACAACACACAGAGCGCGCCAACAGGCAUGCCAAAACGGUGGUCACCACCAGUGCUGGCAUGUGGGGUAGGCAAAUAGUUGGAAAACAUUGUCUAUUGGUAAGUCCUUCGAAGGUUGGGUUCAACUGAGGUGGUAACAAGGUGGAAGAGGCUCUGGUUAAAUAGCUAGUGAGCUCUGAAGUUUACUGCAGUAAACUUUACCAGCUCAAUGUGGUCAAUAGGGAAUUGCUGGAGGCCAAAAAAGAUGUCUGGGAUGUUAAGCUAUGGAGGGACUAUGAUCCUGGAGGUUUUGAGGGUAAAAUGAUCAAGAUUUACUACAGUUGCUUUGCAAUUGCAUACUUGGUCCAGAAAUGAAGAUCAGGAUGGUGCACUCACAUGGAGAGUCAACUUGAGCUCAAAUUGGGCAAGUCUUAGUAAUUUGGACAUAUGAAGAUUAUGUAAAAAGCUCAUGCCAAAUGGACAAGCCAAAAUAGCACUUGCUUCACAAACAUCUCUGCUAACGAGAAACUUGGAAUAAUUACGAUGGUCAAAUGGAUCAAUGAAAUGAUUCCAAAAUGGGUGGAGAGAUGUUUUAUGGGUAUAAUAAUUAUCUGGUAAUUUAUCAGGAUUUGUGAAGCAAUAUAAAAUAUACUUGCUUCACAACCUGAAAAUAUUGACAGAAGCAAAGAUUUGCUCCUGUGCUCACAUAGAUAAUUGGAUGGGGCUGCAAAUGGGUGGAAGGGGUUAAUAUGAGCACAUUAAGGAGUGUGCAAAAGUUCAACUCAUUUGGGAACUCCUAGCUAGUACUUCCUUCACAAAGCCUUCUGUUGGACAGAAACUUUGGAAAUUCACUGAGGAAGACUGGCUAGGAAAAUAAAUUUGAACUUGUGCAUGAGGCAAUUAUUUGGACAUAUAAACAUGCCAAAAUAGGUUGGGAGUCAAUAGGAUAAAUAUAAAUGACACUUCCUUCACAAAGUGCCAUUUAGGGCAGAAUAGGAAAUGAAUUAUUGGAGGAUUUAUUUUUGAACAUGGCAAUGGAAAAUUUUGCCAUAUUUGAUCAAGAUAUGACCCAAAGAAUUUAUGAGAAUUAUUUGGGAAUUUUUGGAGUGAGGGAAAUAUAGGUUGCUUCACAACCUAGGGCAAUUUGAGUUAUUCCUUUAAUAGAAAAGGAAUAUUCCCAAAAGAAAGAAUAUUGGGAUUUGGGAUCGGAUGGAAAUGACAGGGUCUAGGAAAAGAUUUGGGAAUGGCAAGCCACUCUGUAAACAAAUAAGAGGGCAUAUUCUUCAGUUUCCAACCCACAAAGCCACGAAAAAAGAAAAGUCACGCAAAAACCUCGGAAAAACAAAAGAAAAAGAAAGGGCUAAAAAUCAGGCUGUGAAAAACCUUACCCCCUUAAAGAAAUCUCGUUCUCAAGAUUUGGUUGCUCAGGGAACUAGUAUGAAUAUACUGACUUAAGCAAACCAUUUACUCGGGUAUCAUUUUUCCUUUAUUGUUAUUCCCAUUAAAUUUUUAUCUGACUGGCCCUGGAGUGGUUUGCUUUACUAUAUCCUCAUUCUGACAGACCUUACCUGGCUUGCUCAUGCUUAUAUAGGCUUCAAUUUGUUUUUAGAUCUGCUGACUAGCUGAGUCUGGUUUAAUUAUCAUGACUGAAAUAUAUGUCUGUCUCACAAAAAAAGUGAUUUCCGCUCGGUGUGCCACCCGGCACUGACAACCUUUCAUGUAAUGAUGAUCAGAUUUUUCUGAUGAAAACUCAAGCUCUGACUCAUUGCAUUGGGUUUCUCCACUAAAUGCAGGUCCUUUGUGGUUCCAAACAGUGAGUUAAACAUAACCGUUUCCUGACAGAUUCUGACUCAUCGCAGAAGUUUCUGAAUCAUCUUAACCGGUUCCAUUGUCGUCAGUAUCGGAUCCGUACCAAAUAUUUGAUUGUCUCCUGUCGCGGCAGCAUAAAGGGUUUGGCAUGUAUGAUAAUUUCUGCAGACUUGACUGACGGUGGUUCUAACGGAAAAUUUUGUUCACUACAGGCUAUCCAUGAUGAUUCAUAUAAGUGAGGGCUCAGGCUUCCAGACUGUUAUUCCUCAUGCCGAUUACUCAUGUUGUAGGCAUAUCCAUGUGAAUCGCUACUAACUUAGACUGUCCGGAAGAUCUGCACCAUGGGGUCGUGUACAAUUUUCAUACCUGCAUCACGGGUCUUGCUCCUUCAUUAUUGUUUUCUUGGUCUGGAUCCUUGGCUGAAAGAGCUGGGUCAUAUUGCUUCUUCGUAUGACCAUAGGUACUGUCGGUGCAAUUUUUCAGCAAUUGUAGUUUAUCCGCAUUUUUCUGACAGGGUAACCCAUUAAAUGACAGGUUCAACACCUCUCGAAUUCUGAUCGUUGGGAAAUGAUCAUCCGAAACCCUUGCAAGAAAUCGGCAAAUAAAUCAGUAGCCACCAGAACGGUCUUUACAACUCAGAUCUGGGACAUUACUGGAAUAACUCAACCACGGCUCAGGACGGCUGAAAAAGCAGCUCAGAGCAUGAGACCUGGUCGAUAAGAAGAAGGUGGUAUCUCCCUAAAAUAGCCAAAAAGUAGUUAUAGGGCUACUGUCACAAAAAGAAACUCAACAGCUGUAAGAGACGGCCGAAAAGCAGAUCAGACUCGUGACAGUCAUUGAAGAGAGAAACAAAAAUCGGCAUCCACCCAGAUAGCUAGAAACAGCUCAGAUCACAGGCGUGGUGCCAUCAUUGGAGAAAAAGGGGACAAGGGCUCAUCAGGAUCAUUUUCCAGGUUCACGGGUACUUGUAAGAUCUUGAUGGUAUGCUCAUUGCAUAUAUAUGAGAAUGUGAUUCCUGAGACAGACGUGUAUUCUGACUGAUUCUUGAUUCUGACCAAAAUGUUGCGGAUCUGAUUCUUGGGAUUCACUGCCAUAUGCUGUCAAUUCACAGCGUACUACCUUGUACCAAUGUCUUACUGGGGUAUAUUUGCUGGCUUGUGCUUGAAACUUUCAUUGGAUAGCUUGCUGAAGGAGACUGAAUAUUAUGCUUCAGAAGCUUACCCCCUUAAAGACUUUGCUGGGGGAAAAUUCAGUACCUUAUGCUGAAAAUCUUCACGGUUUCUUACUAAAGAAGACAAGAUACCUUGCACGGGAAAUCAUCCAUGUAUCGUACUGAGGAAGAUAGAUGAAUCUUGCCUUGGAAGCUUCUCUGGUAUCUUGCGAGGGAAAAGUGGGUUGCUUACACCAGAAGCUUCUUAUUGUGAUAUGUGGACCGAUUUCCACAUAUACAUACCACCUGAAUAUUUUGCAAUUGAUUUCUUGCAUGAAACGGGGUUUUGCAGGGCUAUCCUCCUUUCUGAGCACAUGCCAUAUUUUUGUUUGCUUCCAGGUACAUUGAGUUCCAAAAUCAUCCUCAACAAAAAAUUAAACUUGUAUCUGAGCCAUACCUUCCAUAAUAUUCUGCCAAACUUGCACACAAUUUAUCUUCUUGCUGAUUUAAUCAUUUUGUUGUGAUGAGUGCAUGCUAAUGCAAACUUGACACUGACGGUCCAUCCAGGAUUUCUUUUGCAUCCAGACAACAUAUUCCCAAUUUCACUGCAGUCAGCUGAUAAUUCCGUUCUGUUUAGAUGAGUUUCCAAACAUAAGCAUUUCUUGCUGACUCUUCGGGUCUAGUGUCAGCUAACGAGCAACUUUAAUAGGGGAAAAAUUUGUAACACUGAAGGCCCAAAGAAAGGAAUAACAGAAACGACUAAAACAAAAGCACACAAGCAUACUACUAAUAAAUAAUCAAGCAAUCAUCACAUAUUACUGCUACUCACACAAAAAUAUGCAUGCACACCUAAGCACACAAAUCUCGCGGGAUCUCCGGUACUACGAUCUAAUAUGCUGUGACGAUGUGCACGAGGACAAAUAAAUGUGUGGAAGAAUUGGUGUAAAUAGCGCUACACCAAGUUCUAGCUUAGCCAGGUGGCAACCUGGACUAGCUCGGAGAUGAGGACAUACUUGGUAAUCAUGCAGUGGGACACGAAGGUCGCAACCACAUUAUUAUCAAGCGGACAGAAAAAGAUCCGUACUUGUCCAACAAAUGGGAUAGCGGGGAAAACGGAGGCUGCUGACAUUGCCCUUUCUUGAUAACUAAGAUCAUUAAGGGUUGCCAACACGACGAAAUAAAAGAACGAUCCGGGAUAGAAGCAUGUCCAUCACCGAAACGAUAGGCGGGAUUGAAAGAAAGACAUCGGUGCGAUACCUGAGCACCAUUUUUGCAAACAGUGUCGGGAUCACUUGGCAUCACUCAGCUGGGACAGAAAUGACACCAAACACCGAAAGAAAAGGAACUAGGGAAAUGCAAAGGUUGAGCUAUAGUGGAUCUGAACCGAUGCCAGCUACACUCACCAGAUAAACCGUUAGUACAAAUAUUAAGGCUAUAUGCAUGCUAUGCAACAAACAAAUGCAGCAAUCAAGUGCAAUCAUCAAGACAGACUCUAUACUACCGAUUUCUAACGUUCGCGCGGUCUAGGGUGUCCUACAGCCAGACCUGCUCUGAUACCAAGCCUGUGGCUCCCCGGCUCAGAGAAACCGGAACACCCCGUAUUCCAGCCCAGAGAUCGAGGAGAAGUCUUCUGGAAUACGACACUGCUUAGCAUAGAACAAACCAGCUUUCUAUUAUUACACGAAUAUGAAUACAAGGUCUCCGAUAUUACAAUGAAUAACAUCGGCACGGCGACACUACGCCAUCCUUAGUUGCUCUAUGCAAGCAGCAGAACAACUUGAAGCAGCGGAAGAACUCUAGCAGCGGAACAACGAAGACGGUGGUGAACUCCACUCCGCAGGGACUCUGGCUGGAACGCUUAUCAUAGCUUGCACGAACGGAAACCACAACAAGCAAGCAAUCAAAUCCGGCAUGACCUGUAAACUGGCAUGACACGCCAGGUCAGUACAUUGAAUGUACUUGCAAGCUCUCAAUAACCAGAAGCAUACAAGACAAACAACAUCAUAGCAAUUACAGGUUAAGCAGGGAUUAUCAUAAUAUCAUCAGAACAACAUGGCAUGACCAACAUAAACAUGAUUUAGCUAACUCUACCUGAACAUAGCAUGAACAUAUUAAUCCGACAAUACAAGCAUGCAAUAUAAUGACACUAUAUGCACCAUUUAUUCUGCUUGGGUUACCUCGUAACCAACACAUGCAUCACUUACCAACCUCGGACAUCACACGAUCAUCUCAGGAUCAAAUCAAGCUUGGUAUAAACAAUACCGUAGCAACCAGUAAAUGACCACAAGGAG